This 458-nucleotide ribosomal RNA is filed under the name Pseudohydnum sinogelatinosum. Its description in RNAcentral is "partial large subunit ribosomal RNA". It matches the Rfam family "Eukaryotic large subunit ribosomal RNA", at positions 54 to 516 of the family's 3401-position model. The record is from RNAcentral. Lineage: Eukaryota; Fungi; Basidiomycota; Agaricomycetes; Auriculariales.
UGGAGAGGACUACAGGAUUCCCCUAGUAACGGCGAGUGAAGCGGGAAAAGCUCAAAUUUGAAAUCUGGCGGUCUACGGCCGUCCGAGUUGUAGUCUAGAGAGGUGUCUUCUGCGUCGGACCAUGCACAAGUCCCUUGGAACAGGGCGUCAUAGAGGGUGAGAAUCCCGUCCGUGGCAUGGACUCCCGGUGCUUUGUGAUGCGCCUUCGAAGAGUCGAGUUGUUUGGGAAUGCAGCUCAAAAUGGGUGGUAAAUUCCAUCUAAAGCUAAAUACAGGCGAGAGACCGAUAGCGAACAAGUACCGUGAGGGAAAGAUGAAAAGCACUUUGGAAAGAGAGUUAAACAGUACGUGAAAUUGUUGAAAGGGAAACGCUUGGAGUCAGUCGCGUUUGCCGGGACUCAGCCUUGCUUCUGCUUGGUGCACUUCCUGGUACACGGGCCAGCAUCAAUUUCGAUCGCC